RNAcentral lists this ribosomal RNA (253 nucleotides) under uncultured bacterium. Its description in RNAcentral is "partial 16S ribosomal RNA". It matches the Rfam family "Bacterial small subunit ribosomal RNA", at positions 524 to 776 of the family's 1533-position model. The record is from RNAcentral.
UACGGAGGGUGCAAGCGUUAAUCGGAAUUACUGGGCGUAAAGCGCACGCAGGUGGCUGAGUCAGUCGAUUGUGAAAGCCCUGGGCUUAACCUGGGAAUUGCAGUCGAUACUACUUAGCUAGAGUAUGGGAGAGGGCAGUGGAAUUCCCGGUGUAGCGGUGAAAUGCGUAGAGAUGUGGAGGAACACCGAUGGCGAAGGCAGCCCCCUGGGCUAACACUGACGCUCAGGCACGAAAGCGUGGGGAGCAAACAGG